Myodes glareolus (Bank vole) is the source of this 735-nucleotide non-coding RNA. The record is from RefSeq and is a predicted model, not a curated record. NCBI's taxonomy places the organism in Eukaryota, Metazoa, Chordata, Mammalia, Rodentia, Cricetidae.
GCAGACCACCGAAGAGGCAACAUGUAAGCUGUCACACUGAGAAAGGACUGCUGCCUCCCCGGUAUCUGCCCUGAAUCUCAAAUAAUUGUCCAGGGCUCUGGCAGCUUUGACACUAGCCCGUCUGGAUCCUGACUCAAGUUCCAAGAGAAGCAGGAAGAAAAAGUGGCGUCAAAGAAGGAGAGGAAGAAGAAAAGAACAGGAAGCCGACCAGAAGAAACAUAGCAGCCGCAGAAAUAUGUUCUAUUCCCUGGGAUUUCUUGACCUUGCUUGAGUGAAGGUCAAAGUGUCAUCACCUACAGUGACCAUUUUGUGAUGUCACAAGACCUCUUAGGUGACCCAUCAUCCCAGCAACACCAACACACACACAUUGCACUCUAUGUACUCAGGAAAAAAUCUACACAGGCCAGCAGACUGAAUUUUUUUUAUGAGCAUUUGUAUUUUGCCUCCAUGUAUGUCUAUAUGAGAAACCCUGGAACUGGAGUUACAAGCGGCUGUGAGCUGCCGUGUGGCAACUGGGAAUUGAACCCGGACCCUCUGGAAGAGCCGCCAGCGCUCUUAACCGCUGAGCGGUCUCUCCAGCCCCCAGCAGACUGAACUCUAAGAGCACUUUUCCCCUUGGCAUCCCAGUUUGUCCCCAGGAGGAGAGAGGUAACAAAAGAUACAUAAUCACUCCCCGGGGUCUCCAUGGCCUUGUCCCAGGGAGGUCCCCGUACACUAUAGUUAGUUACCUGUGAG